Molecule: ribosomal RNA, 180 nt
Filed under: Rhodococcus rhodochrous J38
Lineage: Bacteria; Bacillati; Actinomycetota; Actinomycetes; Mycobacteriales; Nocardiaceae
Source: RNAcentral
CAUCAGAUAUCGAAGCCCGGCAAGGGUUUUCGAUACUCCUGAUGCGUAAAUGUUUCAUAGAGUUACGGCGGCCAUAGCGACAGGGAAACGCCCGGUCCCMYUCCGAACCCGGAAGCUAAGCCUGUCUGCGCCGAUGGUACUGCACUCGACAGGGUGUGGGAGAGUAGGACACCGCCGAAC